Homo sapiens (human) is the source of this 715-nucleotide long non-coding RNA. Ensembl annotates it as long intergenic non-protein coding RNA 2987. Lineage: Eukaryota; Metazoa; Chordata; Mammalia; Primates; Hominidae. The record is from Ensembl.
GGGGCAUGCUGGGAGCAGUAGCAUCUUAGCUGCUUCCGGCCGCUGGUCGCAGGGCUGCGGGACUACAAUCUUCGCAUGAAAUGGAAGAGAGGGUGGUGCGGAUAGCUUGAGGAAGGAACACUACAAGGCCUGUUAGAGAAGAAAGGGUAGAAUCCCGAGAAUGUUUUCCCCACAGUGCUGAUAAGGAGAGACCACUAUCCCAUCUACUGCUACAGCUCUGGAGACAGAGCUCUCCCACCUGUCAUAUAGAACACAAGGACCAAUCUGCAGAGAAAGAGCAUCCAAACCUGAUCCAGUGGACACUGGGGAAAAACUCACCACAGCUGAGUGUGGAAAAACAAGGCCAACACACACAUCUCUGCACAGAUACAUCUCCCAUAAAGAAACUAAAGUGUUAAUUUACAGGGCACUGUUGCAGACCCACUUCAGCUGGAAGCUAGGAACAUGGACAAGGAGCCUCUCUACCACCAAGGGAGAGAGAGGAAUGUGCUCUUGUCCUGGCAUUGCAUCCACAGGAGGGGCAGGAAAUUCUUUGAAGUGGUUUGUUAACCUUCUAAUGUGGAGAUCAUUGAGCCUUUCCGUGAGUAUUCUCCUGGUGUUUCUCCUGAGUGCCACAUGGCAACAGAUUUUAACUGAGCUGAGGGCCCAAAUGUGCAUUGUUGAGAACUAUCAAUUGCUUGGUUCUGGAAGUUGAAAUAAAUAUGUCCCUUUAUUA